This 69-nucleotide transfer RNA is filed under the name Oyamia nigribasis. RNAcentral describes it as "tRNA-His". The record is from RNAcentral. Lineage: Eukaryota; Metazoa; Arthropoda; Insecta; Plecoptera; Perlidae.
ACUUAUGUAGUUUAAAUAAAAUUUUGACUUGUGGCGUCAAGGAAACAAGAGUGUAACUUGUCUUAGGUC